This 209-nucleotide ribosomal RNA is filed under the name uncultured bacterium. RNAcentral describes it as "partial 16S ribosomal RNA". It matches the Rfam family "Bacterial small subunit ribosomal RNA", at positions 568 to 775 of the family's 1533-position model. The record is from RNAcentral.
CGUGUAGGCGGUCAGGUUAGUGGGACGUGAAAUGCCCCGGCUCACCCGGGGACCUGCGUCCCAAACUGCCUGGCUUGAGUAUGGGAGAGGAUGAGGGAAUUCCUGGUGUAGCGGUGAAAUGCGUAGAUAUCUGGAGGAACACCGGUGGCGAAGGCGACAUCCUGGACCAAUACUGACGCUGAGUGAGCGAAAGCAGGGGAGACGAAACG